AUGGAGUGGAAUGCAACACACACGCAACACACACACAACACACACACAACGCACCCCACCUCGCCGCCCACUCCCGCCCUCCUCCCCAGUCCAAGAAACCGCGGGCCUCGCCGCCUUCGCCCCGGGCCUGUCCUUCCCAGGACUCACCGAGGAGCCGCCGCCGCCGCCUCGCCAGCUCCCGAGCGCGAGUUGGCGGAAAAGUUGGGCAGCGGGAAGAGCGGCGGGACGAGCGUAGGGAGGGGGCGCAGAAGGAGACGCGGGCGGAGGGAAGGGAGGAGAGACCCAAGGGGGGCGCGGAUCGCCCGGGAGGGAGCCGGGAGGUGGAAGGGGCGGGCGGCGAGCGGAGGGAGGCGCCGGUCCCGGCUGGGCUGCGGCGGGCAAAGCGCGCAGCCGGGAGGCUCCGGCGCCGGGGGCCGCUCGGGACGCCAAGCCAGCCCCGGAUCCGGGGGCGCCGCGACUCUUACCUCGCUCGGCGUGGAGGUUCCGCCUCGGGAGAGUCCGCCGUGGCUUGCGCGAGCGGGCGUGUGCCCGCGUCCCCGGCUCCGGCCCGCCGCCCCCGGGCUCUUUUCGGGUCCUGGCGGGGUCGCGAGAGCUCCGCGGCCGGCGCUCGACUCCCGGCGGCGCUCGGUGCUCGGCGCCUCCAGCCCGGGCGGGAACAAUGGAGCCGGAGCUGGUGCCCCGGAGGCGGGGCGGGGGGAGGGCUCCCGUCCGCCGCCCGGGGUCUCCAGACCUUGUGCCCCUCUUUUCCAGACCGCGGCGGCGGCGUCUCACGCUCCUUGCAGACCGGGCUCCAUCGCUCCGCGGAGGCCCCGGCGCCGCGGCGUGCCCGACUGCAGCACGGGUACCGUGCGCCCUGUGGGGCGCCCCGAGCUCGGACGGGAGAAAGUCCUCGGGUUCCGCGGCUUUUCGAGCAGCUGCGCGCUCGCGGCCGGGGAAGGCGAGGUCGCCGCAAUGCGCUACGCGGAGUGUCGGUCCCGUCCGGACGUGGCCCUGCUGCCGGCACAGCCCGGGUUCCUCCGCGCGCUACGGCUGCACCAGCGUCCCGGCUCCCGCUCACUGCCGCCCGCCGCCGAGGACGCCGCGCCUGUGACCGAAGGAGCGCUCCGAGCGCUGUGCGCCGGCGAGGCGCGAGGGCUCGCCCUCUCACUCCCACCGGCGCUGGUCCCUCCUCCGCCUCCGCCCCCUGCCGCUGCCUGCUGGGCCUUGUAG
RNAcentral lists this long non-coding RNA (1209 nucleotides) under Papio anubis (olive baboon). RNAcentral describes it as "lncRNA (ENSPANG00000043584.1)". Lineage: Eukaryota; Metazoa; Chordata; Mammalia; Primates; Cercopithecidae. The record is from RNAcentral.